Non-coding RNA from Podarcis muralis (Common wall lizard), 324 nucleotides. The record is from RefSeq and is a predicted model, not a curated record. NCBI's taxonomy places the organism in Eukaryota, Metazoa, Chordata, Lepidosauria, Squamata, Lacertidae.
GCUAUAUCAUGGCCACAGUGAGAAAUUAAAAUGGCAACAAGUCUCAGACGUCUGGCACACUGCUGCAGUUGGCAUCAGGGUCUCUUCAUCUUCCUGAUAUAUGGGGUGUACAACACAGAGGGGGAAUCUUUUCAAGGCACCCUAUUCAGGCUAAAUGUAAAACUUUCAAAAUGCCUUGGCCUUGAAGUGCACAGAGAUACAUGAGGAUGGAUACAUCAGCGGAAAAUGGUUUAAAAAUAUGUCAGUGUAAGUCCCCCCACCCCACCCUAGCCAAGUAGAUUGUAAGUCUGCCGGUUUAUCAACAAAUAAAGAUACAAUAUUGUU